AAAGAAACCAACAGGGAUUGCCUCAGUAACGGCGAGUGAAGCGGCAAGAGCUCAAAUUUGAAAGCUGGCCCCCUCGGGGUCCGCGUUGUAAUUUGCAGAGGAUGCUUCGGGUGCAGCCCCCGUCUAAGUGCCCUGGAACGGGCCGUCAUAGAGGGUGAGAAUCCCGUCUGGGACGGGGUGUCUGCGUCCGUGUGAAGCUCCUUCGACGAGUCGAGUUGUUUGGGAAUGCAGCUCUAAAUGGGUGGUAAAUUUCAUCUAAAGCUAAAUACUGGCCGGAGACCGAUAGCGCACAAGUAGAGUGAUCGAAAGAUGAAAAGCACUUUGAAAAGAGAGUUAAACAGCACGUGAAAUUGUUGAAAGGGAAGCGUUUGCGACCAGACUCGCCCGCGGGGUUCAGCCGGCAUUCGUGCCGGUGUACUUCCCCGUGGGCGGGCCAGCGUCGGUUUGGGCGGCCGGUCAAAGGCCCUCGGAAUGUAUCACCUCUCGGGGUGUCUUAUAGCCGAGGGUGCAAUGCGGCCUGCCCGGACCGAGGAACGCGCUUCGGCUCGGACGCUGGCGUAAUGGUCGUAAAUGAC
RNAcentral lists this ribosomal RNA (575 nucleotides) under Aspergillus fischeri. RNAcentral's name for it is "eukaryotic LSU rRNA". It matches the Rfam family "Eukaryotic large subunit ribosomal RNA", at positions 58 to 648 of the family's 3401-position model. The record is from RNAcentral. Lineage: Eukaryota; Fungi; Ascomycota; Eurotiomycetes; Eurotiales; Aspergillaceae.